GUAAGGGGCAAGCGUUGUUCGGAAUUAUGGGCGUAAAGGGCGCGUAGGCGGCGUUUUCAAGUCUGGUGUAAAAGGGAUACGGGCUUUAAACCGGUAAUCAUGCGCUGGAAACUGAAAGGCUAGAGUUCUAGACGGGGGAGUUGGAAUUCCUGGUGUAGGGGUGAAAUCUGUAGAUAUCAGGAAGAACACCGGUGGCGAAGGCGAACUCCUGGCUGGAUACUGACGCUGAGGCGCGAAAGCGUGGGGAGCGAACAGGAUUAGAUACCCUGGUAGUCCACGCUGUAAACGAUGUGCACUAGGUGUCUGUCUGUCGAGGAUGGGUGCCGUAGCUAACGCGUUAAGUGCACCGCCUGGGGAGUAUGCUCGCAAGGGUG
Molecule: ribosomal RNA, 374 nt
Filed under: uncultured organism
Description: partial 16S ribosomal RNA
Rfam family: Bacterial small subunit ribosomal RNA
Source: RNAcentral